AAUCACAGGACAAGAAAUGGACAACUUCUUUGAUCAAUGGUUAGAGGAGUACAAAAGAGAGAGAGAGUCUAAACAGCAAAACGAACGCGACAAAGUCCUCAUGGAUGUGCUGAUUUCCAUUCUUGAAGGUGCCUCCGAAGAGGAAUUCCCUGGACAUGAUCAUGCAACCAUAAUCAAGGCCACAUGUUUGGUAAACUUAUUACUUCAUAUCAUUAUUUUUUUUCAUUUAUACAUCUUUAAAGUUAUAGAAAUAUUGUACUACAUUAUAUUUCGGUGUUUAAAUAACAAAAUUAUCAUGCAUGCAUGUUGCUUAAUUGUAACAAGAUCCUUUUUUUUUUAUAGACUAUGGUUAUUGGGGGAUUGGACUCAACAUCUGUGGCUUUAACAUGGGCUUUGUGUUUGUUACUCAACAACCCAAGAACUUUAAAACUUGCGCAAGAGGAGAUUGAUGAGCAUGUUGGAAGGAAGAGACGAGUAGAAGAGUCGGACCUAAAAAACUUAGUCUACAUGGAUGCAAUCUUGAAAGAAACACUCCGUUUAUACCCACCUGGACAUCUCGGCCUUCCUAAGGAAACCUUGGAGGAUUGCAUUGUUCAGGGCUACUACAUCCCUAAAGGAACACGUGUGAUGUUGAAUCUUUGGAAACUUCAUCGUGAUCCAAACAUAUGGCCAAAUCCCACCGAAUUUCUUCCCGAA
RNAcentral lists this long non-coding RNA (696 nucleotides) under Lactuca sativa (garden lettuce). Its description in RNAcentral is "long non-coding RNA (LSAT_LNC007680)". Lineage: Eukaryota; Viridiplantae; Streptophyta; Magnoliopsida; Asterales; Asteraceae. The record is from RNAcentral.